ACACUUGGCCUGCCAGGACAUCAUCUGUACUCAUAGAAGGAUCUGAAGCCAGUUUGGCCUUCAGGCUGGUGAAUGGAGGUGACAGGUGUCAGGGCCGAGUGGAAGUCCUCUACUGAGGCUCCUGGGGCACCAUGUGUGAUGACAGCUGGGACAUCAGUGAUGCCAAUGUGUGGUCUGCAGGCAGCUGGGCUGUGGUUGGGCCAUGUCGGCCCCAGGAAAUGCCCGGUUUGGUCAGGGCUAUGGACCCAUUGUCCUGGAUGAUAUGCACUGCUCAGGACACGAGUCCUACCUGUGGUGCUGUCCCCACAGUGGCUGGCUCUUCCAUAACUGUCAGCACAGUGAAGACGCUGGGGUCAUCUGCUCAGCUGCCCAGUCCCGGUCAACGCCCAGGCCAG
Saimiri boliviensis boliviensis (Bolivian squirrel monkey) is the source of this 395-nucleotide non-coding RNA. The record is from RefSeq and is a predicted model, not a curated record. Lineage: Eukaryota; Metazoa; Chordata; Mammalia; Primates; Cebidae.